CGUCGUCUCGCCAAGCCUCAGCUCAUACAUACACCGCUCGAGACAGUGGCUCUCCGGUUGGCUAGCCCGUUCGCGCAGGCAGGGAAGGCCCAACAAAACUGGACAUCUUUGUUCAGGGCACUCAGGACCAUCACUCUACAACAAUAUGUGAAUGCAGCACGACAAACCUUUUUGACAGUGGCUCUUCUCCCUGAUCAAAACCAUUCCCUAGAGAUCACACCUGAAGGGUGCCUAUUUCUGUUAACUUGGACCAAGUGCUUCACGGAAGCCUUCUCGAAAGGCAAGAGUUGGAAUGGGGAUUUCACAUUGGCAGAUUUUAAGGUUUGCCGUGGUCAUGUUCAAAAACAUAAAAAGCCAAAAAAAUUUGGUGAUGAGGGAAUGAAAAAUGAUAUGGAAAAAUUUGUUGAAGAAAUAGAGCUUGUCUUUAGAAGCCGGGAUAGUCGACUGCGUUUCACAUAUCCACCUUACUUCAGUGAUUUUACAUUCCGUCUUAGAAACCUCGAGAUAAUCCAAAAUACAAACAAUGAGGAAGAAAAGUUUCCGGAUGACAGUGGGAUUGAAUUAAUGAUACCUUAUCACCUAGGAGAUUUUAUUGCACGGAUUGUUGCAAAAGUAAUCCUGGAUGGAAUUGACAUCACCGAUGAGCUCAUCAUGAGCUUCAGGGAAGGCCGGACGACUGGUGGUGUUGCUGCUUAACUCCAGUGGCCGGCCUCUCCUAAGAUAACCAAGUACCAUGUCGUAGCAUGAUCAGAAGCUAGCAAGACACCUCGCUCCUUAAUGCCUGGUGCUAAUAAUUAAUUAAAUUCGAGUAGCUUUUUUUAAUGCCAUUGCACUAUCUGUAAGACUAAGUACUCUUAAGCCCGUACGUACUCUGUGAGAUGAUCUGCAGUUAAUUGCUUUUAUCGUGUUGUCGUGUGUCGUGACUAGCUAAACCUAGCUUGCUAGUAUGUAGUACCGUAAUUCCACUUGUCUUGUAAGACUAUUAUUUUCGGUAAUUUCGCUUGUCUUGUAAGACUAUUUAUUUUCAGUAAUUCCUUAAUGAAAAAAUGGAGCUGGGAGUGUUUCCCAGUUCCACAAAAAAAAAAUGUCUCAGCAAU
RNAcentral lists this long non-coding RNA (1097 nucleotides) under Oryza sativa Indica Group (long-grained rice). RNAcentral describes it as "lncRNA OsZS97_12G018540". Lineage: Eukaryota; Viridiplantae; Streptophyta; Magnoliopsida; Poales; Poaceae. The record is from RNAcentral.